Molecule: ribosomal RNA, 254 nt
Filed under: uncultured bacterium
Lineage: Bacteria
Description: partial 16S ribosomal RNA
Rfam family: Bacterial small subunit ribosomal RNA
Source: RNAcentral
CUAGUCCUACGGGAGGCAGCAGUGGGGAAUAUUGGACAAUGGGGGGAACCCUGAUCCAGCGACGCCGCGUGAGUGAAGAAGUAUUUCGGUAUGUAAAGCUCUAUCAGCAGGGAAGAAAAUGACGGUACCUGACUAAGAAGCCCCGGCUAACUACGUGCCAGCAGCCGCGGUAAUACGUAGGGGGCAAGCGUUAUCCGGAUUUACUGGGUGUAAAGGGAGCGUAGACGGUGAUGCAAGUCAGAAGUGAAAGCCCG